CAUACAACCAUUUGAAUUUGAAUGAAUGGCAGAUCGCUAGAUUGAGUUGCGUGCAGGAAGGCGACCUAGAAGACAUUCUAGUAAUUUUUAAAAAGGUCCGGGCCGUCCGGCAGAUCCGGGCGUCUGCAAUCAAACAAACACGUCCUCUUAUCCCUUUUGUGGCCAGCUAACAUCAACUGUUCUUCUCAUUAGACAGAGAAGAAAGACAAAGCGCCAGGGAAAAGGCCAAUGAUGGUGAAGGUCUUCUUUGUGGUAGAGAGCGAGAGACAGAGAGACCGCAGAUGCCGGCUGCCGACUGCACAAUCUUCCCUCAGCCAUGUUUAUAGCAAUGAUUUAUAGCGAUUUUAGGGGCAGAUUUUUGACUUUUUGUUUUUAUUUUUAAUUUUUAGUUUUUUAUCGAAGAGGAGAUUAGAAAUGGGUGGGUAUUUGAGAACCUUUCCCACUCUGAAACUGCUACACUGCUCUUUUUUGUGAGAAUAAUCAUAUGUUGGUUAUAUUGGAAAAAACAUGAGUUCAAAAUAGUGGGUGCCACAUCUAUACUACCCAGUUGUUUGUUCUGCUUUCAAUUUGCCGUUGUCAAAUUUAUCUUUUCCUUUUGCAGCUCGUCAAAUAUACAGUACUUGAUGUUGAAUAGUAGUUUCUCACGAGGUCGUGCUUUUUUAGUUGUUUAGUCCAAGAAGCAAGCUUCCCUCAUUCACUCUCUCUCACUUUCUAAAAAGGUAGAUCUCUUACUGAGUCUCAGGUCACGCUUAUAAAUAGAUGACGGAGGAGGUUUCAUUCUGCAGUGCACUCAUCCAGUCUUCCUCCACCAGUUGCAGUUGCAGUUGCUAUUUACAAACAAUGAAGCGAGUUUCCCUUUCAAUCCUCUUUCUUGCCCUUCUCUUGCUGUCCUCUAUGGCUUUUGCACGUACACUACAUGAGAAUAAAAAUAAGAAGGAUUACAGAGGCCAUUGCUUUACCUGCCUUCGUCAUGGCGUGUGCUGCAAAGACUUUUGUUGCACCAACCGAUGCUGCUCGGCGGAGGAGUACGCUGAGUUACUGAAAGAGACGAUUGUCCCUCAGAACUGAGGCUUCCUGAUUCGCCGGUGUUGACGCAUGUUGAUGAUAAUGGUAGCAGCGAAGGUGCUUGUCAAUAAUAAAGUAAGCGUGCAUGCUUACAAUCGAGCAUGCAUGCAGGGUAUGUGUGUCCUGGUUCUUGUUGAUUUUGCAAGAACCUUAUCUGUACGCUUUAUGUCGCGUGGAAUGAAAUAAAUUAGUUAAGCUCUGCCAAA
This is a long non-coding RNA of Nymphaea colorata (pocket water lily), 1271 nucleotides long. RefSeq lists it as uncharacterized. The record is from RefSeq and is a predicted model, not a curated record. Lineage: Eukaryota; Viridiplantae; Streptophyta; Magnoliopsida; Nymphaeales; Nymphaeaceae. The transcript has 3 exons.